Molecule: long non-coding RNA, 4662 nt
Organism: Centruroides sculpturatus (bark scorpion)
Lineage: Eukaryota; Metazoa; Arthropoda; Arachnida; Scorpiones; Buthidae
Exons: 3
Source: RefSeq, a predicted model, not a curated record
AUAAACAUCACGGAUUACAACAUUGGAAUAUAAUAAAACAUUAUUUAAAAUUAUGGUUAUGAUGUUUCUUUUACGAAAUACAACUCAAAAUAUUCGAGAAACGACGAAAAAUCAGAAUUGUUAGAAUGGAAUUUAACACGAAAUUAAUUUAAAUGUGUGCAUUUGUGAUGGCUUUACAGUUGUCGCCAUUAUUUUCUCUUAGGUAUGACUCGACAUCUAAGCUUUCUGCAUCGUUAAUUUAACGUUUUAAACUUUAAAUUGUAAGUAAAAUUAAAAAAUAAUACGUAGAAAUUUCGAAUAAUCAAACUAUCGCGGUUGUUUCUUUACAGAAUCUGAACAGGGACCGUGGGUUUGUUAUGUUUGCCAAAGAUCUUUUACUAAAAUAUCUCUUCUAAAACGACAUCACAGACAACACGCUACUAAAUGUAAUUCUUCAAACAGUAAAGAUGACGAUUCCGAGAAAAAGAAUUAUCCUUGCUCCAUCUGCUCAAAGAGUUUUUGUAGUCUGUAUAGUUUAAAACGUCAUCAAACACUACACAGACCAGACGCUCCUCUCUAUCACUGUGACGUUUGCGACUAUAAAACAAUAUGGAGAGAUAAUGUAAUUUUACAUAGAAGACAAGUGCAUCAAAUGAAGUAAAGGAUAAAAAAUAAAAUAUUCUUUUUGAAAAUUCUUCACUACUACAACAAAAACAAAUGUAUUAUAAAAUUCGUCGUCAAUCUAUUGACAAUCUAUCAAAAAAUUAAACUUGUUAUUAAAUCCCCAUCUCUAGUCUAUAAUUAUUGGAAUCUUAAGUUAAAAAAUUACGUUAGUAAUAUAUUUUAUAAGAUUAUAACUUAAAAAUACUUAUUUUACUGUAAAUAAGUAUAGGAAAUUGUUCAUUUUUAUUUAAAGAAAAGACUCUUUUAAGUAAGAAAACUGAAGAUAGUUGUGUUUGUAACAGAUUAAUAAACGAAAAUCUCUCUUUAAUAAAGGUCCUAAAUUCCGUGGUCGACCUAUGAAACCCAGAACGUGUCACAUAUGUUUGAGGACAUUUACCAGGAACACAAGUUUACGUCGUCAUUUUAUCAUCCAUCAAAAAAAUCCACCGAAGUUCGUUUGUAAUAUUUGUGACUUUCAAACAAUUUGGAAGAAUUGUUACGUUAAACACAAAUUCGAAUUGCACGGAGAAGUCAUUUGAUUCUCGUUUCUUGUUUUAUGUAUGGAAUACGACCAGGAGUAUGUAUUCGAGAUAAUAAAAUAAAAUUUAAAGAAUUUUACUUAAUGCAUUCUCUUGUAUUCUUUUCACCAACCUACACUAACAUAAAAUAUAUAUAGCCACGUAUGUAUAUGUAUAUAGAUUUUGUUCUUUUUUAGAUAAUAUGUGAGCAGAUAUUCGUGUGUUUUUGUAUCAAUAUCUUUGUUUUUUAAUUACAGAAUGGAGAAUGAGAAGAUGGAUAUGUUUCAUAUGUCAUAAGUCGUUCGCACGAAGCACUCAUUUACGUCGUCACGCGAGUAUUCACGAACCCGAUGCACCCAAAUAUAUAUGCGAUGUUUGUGGAUACGAAUCGAUCAGGAAGGAUGCAGUCGUUCAACAUAGACGACACGUACAUAGGAACAGAAGAUAAAAGGACUGAUAAAUGACGUUUUGGUUGCUGCUCGUCCGUCCCUCCAUAGCCUAAUAUGGGUUUUUUUUAGUAUCCCGUUCUUCUAAUCUAUACAAAACUGUAGAAAAGGUGAAGGGUCGUAUCCGGAGAUCUUGCUCAAAAUUAUGUUGAUUAUCAAUUGUAUUAAGGAAAAAAAGAAAAAAAUAAUAAGAAUAAAGAUAUUUAUGCGUUCGAUUUAAUCGAAGUUUUUUUGUAUUUUAAAAAAUUUGAUUUAGUUCCUUUUUUAAUUUAAUUUAAUUAAAAAAUUGUUAAUUUAGUUUAUUUAUUUUUUAAUUAAAUUAAAUUUUUAAUAAUAUUACAAGUUUUUUAAAAUUAAUAGAGCAAUUAGGGUCGUACCUCUAAUGGUGACUUUUCUCCAAGAUUGCAGGAGUUUGGAUUUGCGAACGUGCACCGUUUGUCAAAAAACCUUUACUACGAGAUCCAAUUUGAUUCAACACACCCGGAUCCACAAACCAGACGCUCCUCGUUUCAACUGUCAGCUCUGUGGUUAUGCUUCGAUAUGGAAGUCGGAUGUACGAAGACACGUCAAGAACGUGCACAGAAUCAUGUAAAAGGCAGACACCUCGCCGACUUUUUUGUAUAAAAAUUGUCUUAAAUUUGCUAAUUUCGUAUAUAAUUUGAAUAAAUCGUGUUUCAAUUUUAUUUGUAAGUUAUAAAGCACUAAAAUAUAUCACAGAAACAGCAGAAAAAAGUGCACUUUCUGGGUAGAGGUGGGUUUGGGAAAGUGUGCUUACACCAAUCCAUAAACAAAGCAAAAUAAUUUUUGUAAUAAUUUUAUAAUAAUUUAUAAUUUCCACUUCAAUCAAAAUAAAUUGUGUCCCGAGAAGUAUAUUUUAGAUAUUUCUAGGCAAAACAAUUAAAAUUUUUAAAAAGGAUAUGUGAAAAGAUUGGUGACACGUUUUAUUUUGAUGCGUAAUCAGUUUAAUCGUGUUUCCAAUAUAGAUUUUAAUUUUUCAGAAGGUCCUUUAAGCACAUAUCCUCGCAAAAUUCUAAUUAAAAUCAAGCUGCAGCGAAAUAGUGAAAUCGUCUUCUCUGUCCUCAGGUACUAGGGCUUACACCUGCAACCUCUGUCUCAAGUCGUACACCUCUCGAUCCAACCUUCGAAGUCACUUCCGGCUUCAUCAACCCAAUGCAACAAGGUAUUAUUGUCACAAGUGCGGCUAUUCGUCUCUGUGGAAGGAAAAUGUGACGAAACACAUUCGAUCGGUUCAUGGAACGACUGAAGCAGGCCUUCAACUGAAUCCUUCCCGGAAGUGACGUGUACUUCCCAUAAUGUGUGCCAAGCUUUAUUCAAUUGUUGUUGAUGUUUAAUUGCUUAUGUUACUUCGUAAUUUAUCUGUAUAUAUUUACUUAACUCUCCAAUUGAUUGCUAGAAAGUAUGUUUAUAUCAAUAUGUAAAUUCGGUUGGUUAGAUUUUUAAAAUUUUAAAAAAGUUUUAAAAAAAUCAAAAAGUUUUCAUAAUAAUUAAUUAAUUAAUUAAUUAAGAACAUUUAAUACGUUCGCGAAUUUAAUCCAUUUAAUUGAGCUGUUCCAAGUGGUAUCAUAAGGUAGGUAAAACUUAGGCACUAGCGUAAUUAACUGAUGUUUCUGGUUAUUUCUAUUUAUUAAUAUAUUCCUCUUUCUUUUUCUUCUUAUUUUUCUAAACAGUGUCGGACGAACUGAAAGCCAGGACGUGUCCUUUCUGCCACAAAUUAUUUUCCACCCGUUCCAACCUGAAGCUUCACGCCAGGAUUCAUCAACCCGAUGCACCCAGAUUUUAUUGCGACCAUUGCAAUUAUAGAUCACUAUGGAAAGGGGAUGUGGUGAAACACUUGAGGACUGUGCACAAGAUGCAGGAGCCACCUGUAUGGUCUGCAUGAAGACAUUUACUACUCGUUCCUAUCUGCAGUGCCAUUUGAGACUUCAUCAACCGGAUGCUCCCAAGUAUUAUUGUGAACUGUGCAAUUACAACACUUUAUGGAAGAGUGAUGUCGUGAAACACAAACGGGUAGUACACAAACUUCACGUUUCUAGGAUGCGUUGCCCUAACAUGCAGUAGAUUGGUAAACCACAAAACACAUGUUAAUGAUAUUUAAGUGAACAAUUAGUUCACUACGUUUCUAUUAAAAUUUUAUUCGGAACUACAGACUUUUCGUUGAGGCUAAGAAUCGCACAAAUAUAUAAAUAAAUAAAUAAAUAUAUAUAUAUAUAAAUAUAUAUAGUUAGAGUUAUAUGUCGAAUCAGAGUUGUUUGCCGGAUGUGUUUUUUUUUUUUUUUUUUGUACGUUUCGUGUUUAAAGUAUUUUUAAUCUAAUAAAAAGUAAGUUAUAUUAUUGAAAUUAGCCUGAAUUUAUUACAUUCGAAUCUAAUUAGGUUACAUAUUAUUGUCUAUGUGUCUUUAAUGUGGAGUUUAGGGACAACAAGCGAUCUGUUUCAUCUAUAAUAACUCAGGUAAGAUGAGCGGGUAUUUAUGUAAAGGGAACCAAAAUGUCUCUAUCCGGUUCGGGUUUUAACGUUGUGAUUUUUUUUAAUUAAUUGGGAAAGAGAAUGAAGGAUGAUUAACAAUUCUUUUGUCCUUUCAGGUAAUUCGUCAUUUAAGUAUAACGAAACGUCUCGCACCUGUAAUAUAUGUUUCAAGACAUUCUCUACGCGAUCGAAUUUAAAGAACCAUUCAAAAAUCCAUCAACCGGAUGCUCCGACCUUUUGCUGUGAUAUCUGUGAUUACGAGUCCAUACGUAAAGGAGACGUUUUGCGACAUCGAAGAAUGGUUCACACUGUGAAACAAAAACUUAAAAGAAUCAUUUAAACAACUAUUCUUUUAAAUGUGAUCUCGAUUUAGGUGGGAAUUCUGUUAAAUUAAGUUCAAGUUAGUUCUGUAAGUCAAAAUAUAAAUAAUGAUUUAAACUUAUAAAAUCAUUAAUAAGUUUAAUUUUCAGAUCGUGAGUAAUUCCAGCAGAAAUAUAAGUUAUACUUCAAUUAAUUCGAUUAUUUAUAAUUAUUUUAUCAGUUUAAAUGCGAAAUUUUUUUUUCUUCUCAC